AAGAGAGAGCCCAGCACUCCCCCGAACACAGGCUGGGGAUCUUCGAACUCACUUAGCUCCCUCAGGUCCCCAGUAGCUCAUUUGUCAAAUGGAUAUGAUAUCAACCUGCUAAGAUGCUGAGAGAUGUAAAGCAGAACGUGCCAGGCACGCAAUAAACGUAGCCAUUCUUGGGGUUCAGGAUGGGGACACAGUGCUGUGUCUUACAUUAAAGGCCAACCUUUAGAACUCAGCCGCACUCGUCAUACCUCAGCAUUCUAAGGGGACGGAGAUGUUCCUGGCAUCCCCUCUCCCAGCUUACUAUUGGGAGAAGCGAACAGGGCACAGAUGCCAUCACUAACAUCAGAACCAAAGUGGUGAUGAGCCCAAAGGUAUGGCUCUCUUCUGAAAAUACAUCCAUUUUCUACAUGGUGCUACUCUUUUGAACUUCUAUUAUGAUAUACACUGACAUGAUCAUUCCUAGUUUCCCAUCACAUAUGCCAUUCUUCUGUGUUGUUUUGGGGAAUCCAUUCCACAGGUACUAAUAAACAGCCCACAUUUCGCCAAUACAACAAUGGUGAUUAAGUAGCAAUGUCAUCGCAUGUCAUCUUAUCCAACUGUGCACAUAAUCAUUUUCAAAACAGUUAACUGCAGUUCUAAAAUGCAGUUUUAGUCCAGUGAAUGUUCCUGGAAUGUCGUUGCCUUGAAGGGUUUCCAAUGCAAAUAAAUGAUUUUUUAAAC
Molecule: long non-coding RNA, 717 nt
Filed under: Fukomys damarensis (Damara mole-rat)
Lineage: Eukaryota; Metazoa; Chordata; Mammalia; Rodentia; Bathyergidae
Description: lncRNA (ENSFDAG00000021652.1)
Source: RNAcentral